UACGGAGGGUGCAAGCGUUAUCCGGAUUCACUGGGUUUAAAGGGUGCGUAGGCGGGUAGGUAAGUCAGUGGUGAAAUCUUCGAGCUUAACUCGGAAACUGCCUUUGAUACUAUCUAUCUUGAAUAUUGUGGAGGUAAGCGGAAUAUGUCAUGUAGCGGUGAAAUGCUUAGAUAUGACAUAGAACACCUAUUGCGAAGGCAGCUUACUACGCAUAUAUUGACGCUGAGGCACGAAAGCGUGGGGAUCAAUCAGG
RNAcentral lists this ribosomal RNA (253 nucleotides) under uncultured bacterium. RNAcentral describes it as "partial 16S ribosomal RNA". It matches the Rfam family "Bacterial small subunit ribosomal RNA", at positions 524 to 776 of the family's 1533-position model. The record is from RNAcentral.